This 791-nucleotide ribosomal RNA is filed under the name uncultured archaeon. RNAcentral describes it as "bacterial SSU rRNA". It matches the Rfam family "Archaeal small subunit ribosomal RNA", at positions 85 to 876 of the family's 1478-position model. The record is from RNAcentral.
ACUGCUCAGUAACACGUGGACAACCUACCCCUCAGCACGGGGAUAAACCCGGGAAACUGGGUAUAAUACCCGAUAGUUCUGGGAAGCUGGAAUGCUCCCAGGACGAAAGCUCCGGCGGCCGAGGAUGGGUCUGCGGCCUAUCAGGUAGUAGUGGGUGUAACGUACCUACUAGCCUACGACGGGUACGGGUUGUGAGAGCAAGAGCCCGGAGAUGGAUUCUGAGACACGAAUCCAGGCCCUACGGGGUGCAGCAGGCGCGAAAACUUUACAAUGCUGGCAACAGCGAUAAGGGGACCUCGAGUGCCAGGAUACAAUCUUGGCUGUCGUGAUGCCUAAAAAGCAUUGCAUAGCAAGGGCCGGGCAAGACCGGUGCCAGCCGCCGCGGUAACACCGGCGGCUCGAGUGGUAACCGCUAUUAUUGGGUCUAAAGGGUCUGUAGCCGGCCGGAUAAGUCUUUUGGGAAAUCCAGCUGCUCAACAGUUGGGCUUUCAGAAGAUACUGUUCGGCUCGAGGCCGGGAGAGGUGAGAGGUACUUCAGGGGUAGGGGUGAAAUCUUGUAAUCCUUGAAGGACCACCAGUGGCGAAGGCGUCUCACCAGAACGGACCUGACGGCAAGGGACGAAAGCUAGGGGCACGAACCGGAUUAGAUACCCGGGUAGUCCUAGCCGUAAACGAUACUCGCUAGGUGUCAGCCACGGUGCGACCGUGGUUGGUGCCGUAGGGAAGCCGUGAAGCGAGCCACCUGGGAAGUACGGCCGCAAGGCUGAAACUUAAAGGAAUUGGCGGGGGAG